RNAcentral lists this ribosomal RNA (253 nucleotides) under uncultured bacterium. RNAcentral's name for it is "partial 16S ribosomal RNA". It matches the Rfam family "Bacterial small subunit ribosomal RNA", at positions 524 to 776 of the family's 1533-position model. The record is from RNAcentral.
GACGUAGGGCGCGAGCGUUGUCCGGAUUUAUUGGGCGUAAAGAGCUCGUAGGCCGCUUGUCGCGUCGACUGUGAAAACCCGCGGCUCAACUGCGGGCCUGCAGCCGAUACGGGCAGGCUAGAGUUCGGUAGGGGAGACUGGAAUUCCUGGUGUAGCGGUGAAAUGCGUAGAUAUCUGGAGGAACACCGGUGGCGAAGGCGGCAUCCUGGACCGACACUGACACUGAGGAGCGAAAGCCAGGGGAGCAAACGGG